AACAGCAAGAAGUUCAGUCUAAGUAAUUCAUCUAAAGCUAUGCAGGUUUGGCUCUGGCCAGUAUUUGGAUGGGAAACCAAUUAGGAAAGCUUGGGUUGCUGCUG
This 104-nucleotide ribosomal RNA is filed under the name Paramormyrops kingsleyae. Lineage: Eukaryota; Metazoa; Chordata; Actinopteri; Osteoglossiformes; Mormyridae. The record is from RNAcentral.